This 264-nucleotide non-coding RNA is filed under the name Paenibacillus sp. RNAcentral describes it as "T-box sequence". It matches the Rfam family "T-box leader". From Rfam's summary of the family: Uncharged tRNA acts as the effector for transcription antitermination of genes in the T-box leader family. T-boxes are found upstream of many aminoacyl-tRNA synthetase genes and some amino acid biosynthetic genes usually in Gram-positive bacteria. The record is from RNAcentral. Lineage: Bacteria; Bacillati; Bacillota; Bacilli; Caryophanales; Paenibacillaceae.
AGGUAUACAAUGAUGAGGGGUACUAGUUUCCUUCCCGUUCACCCAGAGAGCCGGCGGUUGGUGAAAGCCGGUUGAAGGGCGGAAAUGAACUCGCCUCGGAGUAACGAUGUCAACCCGGCGGACGGCGCAGUUGUUGCAAGCUUGUCCACACCGAUGAAUCAUCGUCGUCUCACCUGCGAUAAAGGUGCAAAGGGAGCCCGAGGCAAAGCAUGCCUUGGACUAACUAGGGUGGUACCACGGGAAACAAAACCUCUCGUCCCUAGC